This is a long non-coding RNA of Coregonus clupeaformis (lake whitefish), 1542 nucleotides long. RefSeq lists it as uncharacterized. The transcript is spliced from 6 exons. NCBI's taxonomy places the organism in Eukaryota, Metazoa, Chordata, Actinopteri, Salmoniformes, Salmonidae. The record is from RefSeq and is a predicted model, not a curated record.
UUAAGGUUAAGGUUAAGGUUAAGGUUUGGGGUAGGGACGUCCCAAGGAUCCCAGAUUGCAAUGACCAGUCAUUUACACAGUGGUUAUUUAAGAUCUCCACUACAUAGCACAGCCACAAAGCUAUAUCAAAGAAAUUGAUGAAAACUAAAAUGAACUUUUUGGUCUUAAUGUAAGGUUAGGCAUAAGGUUAGCAGUGUGGUUAAGGUUGGGUUUUAAAUGACAUUUUAAGAAGAGACAUUGUAGAAAUAUGACUCUGUGGCUGUGGUAACUAGUGACGACCGUCAUUUAACUAACUAGCUAGCUAAAGCUAACAGUAGCUAAUCCAUUUCACGAAACGAACAACAGACAGCAGUAAUACAUGAUUCAGCUGUCUCUGACUUGGUGGCCCUGAUGAUGUAGCGAGCUAACCACACAUCAGUGGAUGGCGGCAUGGAGCCAAAUAACCUUGAUGGCGCUAGGCAGCUAACCAUCCUCCCAGUCUAACAGAGAUUGAUCAAGUCAUGUCAUAGCCAAAUGGACCCUCGUGAAUUCAAGGAAGGCAACAGGUCUCGGAAUGGCAAACGUGGACCCAGCCAGUCCAGCACCCCUCAUCAGAAAGAUGCCUAUGCCGGACUCCUCGGCCAGCAUCACAGUAGAAAGUUCAGAUCCUACCUGGACCAGUAUGCCCAACAGCAGGGGGAAGAGAAUGGGCCAAACGCACAGAGGCAGGGUCUAGCCCACAGCGACAAACAAGACUGCAGAGAAAAAGGGACCAGGCAUUUAUCGAGUGCUCUGACUCAAGUGACUUCUCGCCUUCGCCUAUGAAAGGUAAGGGAGGAGAAGAGAGCUGUCUGUCCUUGUACAUGGACAAGCGGGCGCCACAGGACCCGGAGAGGAAGCAGGGGCUUCCAACAAGCAGCGACGCGGGGAGAGGAGGGACACCGAAACCAGUCAGGACGGAGAUGUGGAGUCCGGUGAGUAGUUGGGCUCUCUCAAUCAGAGGGACUCCCAGCAGCAACACCAGACGACAAAACAAAGACUACAAAGACCAUGCUUCCAACGUGCCCACAGUAACCAAAGAAACAAGGACAUGAGUCAUGGGACGUCUCCCCCAAAAGCUGGUUUAACUGACCCAGCUCAAGAGCAAGAGAAGAAUUCCAAGAAGAAGAAUGUGCCAAAGAACAACGAGGAUAACAAGAGAGAUGGGCCAUUGUAUCCUGACUUCAAUGCAGUCACGUCAAAGUCCCCCUUUAACAAAACCAAAAACGUGCAACCCCAAGGUCCCACUACGCCUUCUGACAAGUGUAAGAAGACUAGAGGACGCUGAGGACGAUCAAAGACAGUGUUUGAAGCGUACAUGACCACAGAGGACAUUUCCCACGUCCUAAAGAGAGGAGAGCUCAUUUAGGAUGGCAUUCGGGAUAUCUUCCUGGAUGGAAUUGUAGGCCAAAACAGGGCCCUAACAGGGAUGUGGUUCAGGUUCUCCCUCAGGAACAGUGGAAGGUAGUGAGAGCAAAUGCAAAGUUGUAGAAACAUCUCAAGGAUGAUCAAUGGAAACAGGAU